AUUGAACGCUGGCGGCAUGCCUUACACAUGCAAGUCGAACGGUAACAGGUCUUCGGAUGCUGACGAGUGGCGAACGGGUGAGUAAUACAUCGGAACGUGCCUAGUAGUGGGGGAUAACUACUCGAAAGAGUGGCUAAUACCGCAUGAGAUCUACGGAUGAAAGCAGGGGAUCGCAAGACCUUGUGCUACUAGAGCGGCCGAUGGCAGAUUAGGUAGUGGGUGGGAUAAAAGCUGACCAAGCCGACGAUCUGUAGCUGGUCGGAGAGGACGAUCAGCCACACUGGGACUGAGACACGGCCCAGACUCCUACGGGAGGCAGCAGUGGGGAAUUUUGGACAAUGGGCGCAAGCCUGAUCCAGCAAUGCCGCGUGCAGGAUGAAGGCCUUCGGGUUGUAAACUGCUUUUGUACGGAACGAAAAGCCCUGGGUUAAUACCCUGGGGUCAUGACGGUACCGUAAGAAUAAGCACCGGCUAACUACGUGCCAGCCGCCGCGGUAA
This 498-nucleotide ribosomal RNA is filed under the name uncultured bacterium. RNAcentral describes it as "partial 16S ribosomal RNA". It matches the Rfam family "Bacterial small subunit ribosomal RNA", at positions 30 to 523 of the family's 1533-position model. The record is from RNAcentral.